GACGAACGCUGGCGGCGUGCCUAAUACAUGCAAGUUGAGCGCUGAAGGUUGGUACUUGUACCAACUGGAUGAGCAGCGAACGGGUGAGUAACGCGUGGGGAAUCUGCCUUUGAGCGGGGGACAACAUUUGGAAACGAAUGCUAAUACCGCAUAAAAACUUUAAACACAAGUUUUAAGUUUGAAAGAUGCAAUUGCAUCACUCAAAGAUGAUCCCGCGUUGUAUUAGCUAGUUGGUGAGGUAAAGGCUCACCAAGGCGAUGAUACAUAGCCGACCUGAGAGGGUGAUCGGCCACAUUGGGACUGAGACACGGCCCAAACUCCUACGGGAGGCAGCAGUAGGGAAUCUUCGGCAAUGGACGAAAGUCUGACCGAGCAACGCCGCGUGAGUGAAGAAGGUUUUCGGAUCGGAAAACUCUGUUGGUAGAGAAGAACGUUGGUGAGAGUGGAAAGCUCAUCAAGUGACGGUAACUACCCAGAAAGGGACGGCUAGCUACGUG
This 497-nucleotide ribosomal RNA is filed under the name uncultured bacterium. Its description in RNAcentral is "partial 16S ribosomal RNA". It matches the Rfam family "Bacterial small subunit ribosomal RNA", at positions 28 to 507 of the family's 1533-position model. The record is from RNAcentral.